CAUUAAAAAUUUCAUCCAUUUCUACUGUUAAAAACUAAUGUGACUGACAAAAUAACUAGACAGUUACGCGUCACAAGGACUAAUUUUUAAUGGUAGAAAUUAAUGAAAUUUUUAAUA
Molecule: non-coding RNA, 117 nt
Organism: Gossypium raimondii (Peruvian cotton)
Lineage: Eukaryota; Viridiplantae; Streptophyta; Magnoliopsida; Malvales; Malvaceae
Source: Rfam